RNAcentral lists this ribosomal RNA (735 nucleotides) under uncultured bacterium. Its description in RNAcentral is "bacterial SSU rRNA". It matches the Rfam family "Bacterial small subunit ribosomal RNA", at positions 611 to 1348 of the family's 1533-position model. The record is from RNAcentral.
AACCAGGAGAGAGCGGCGCGAACCGGAGACCAGGAGCGCGCGGAAGGCAGGCGGAACACGNGGGGCAGCGGAGAAAGGCGCAGAUAUCACGAAGAACCCCGAUGGCGAAGGCAGCCUGCCGCAGGCGUUACUGACGCUUAAGCUAGAAAGGGCGGGUUUCGAACAGGAUUAAGAUACCCUGGUAGUCCGCGCGGUAAACGAUGGAUGCCCGCUGUCGGCGAUAUACAGUCGGCGGCCAAGGGAAAGCGUUAAGCAUCCCACCUGGGGAGUACGCCGGCAACGGUGAAACUCAAAGGAAUUGACGGGGGCCCGCACAAGCGGAGGAACAUGUGGUUUAAUUCGAUGAUACGCGAGGAACCUUACCCGGGCUUGAAUUGCAGAGGAAAGAUCCAGAGAUGGUGAUGCCCUUCGGGGUCUCUGUGAAGGUGUUGCAUGGUUGUCGUCAGCUCGUGCCGUGAGGUGUCGGCUUAAGUGCCAUAACGAGCGCAACCCCUUUCCCUAGUUGCCAUCGGUUUUGGCCGGGCACUAUGGGGACACUGCCUCCGCAAGGAGUGAGGAAGGUGGGGAUGACGUCAAAUCAGCACGGCCCUUACGUCCGGGGCUACACACGUGUUACAAUGGGUGAUACAGAGGGCCGGCCGCUGGCAACAUCGGUCCAAUCCUUAAAGUCAUCCUCAGUUCGGACUGGGGUGUGCAACCCGACCCCACGAGGCUGGAUUCGGUAGUAAUCGCGCA